This 253-nucleotide ribosomal RNA is filed under the name uncultured bacterium. RNAcentral's name for it is "partial 16S ribosomal RNA". It matches the Rfam family "Bacterial small subunit ribosomal RNA", at positions 524 to 776 of the family's 1533-position model. The record is from RNAcentral.
UACAGAGGGUGCGAGCGUUGUCCGGAAUCACUGGGCGUAGAGGGCGCGUAGGUGGCGAGCCAAGUCCAUGGUGAAAGCUCGAUGCUCAACAUCGAGUCGGCCGCGGAUACUGGUGCGCUUGAGCACUGUAGAGGCUAAUGGAAUUCCGGGUGUAGCGGUGGAAUGCGUAGAGAUCCGGAAGAACACCGGUGGCGAAGGCGGUUAGCUGGGCAGUUGCUGACACUGAGGCGCGACAGCGUGGGGAGCAAACAGG